Molecule: long non-coding RNA, 1133 nt
Filed under: Homo sapiens (human)
Lineage: Eukaryota; Metazoa; Chordata; Mammalia; Primates; Hominidae
Description: HSALNT0036023
Source: RNAcentral
CUGAGAUCUGAGGAAUGCCCUGGAGGAACAUCAGGGAGGAAAAAUCUGUCAGUGGACUUACCCCAGGCAGUGGAGAGUUACUGGUUUCACAACUUGUUUCUUAUGCUAAUUCCCAUAAUUGAAUCUGCAGGGGGCAGGGAGGGGGGAGGGGAAUCCCAGAAAAACUAUUCCGAGUGUUUGGGUGGAUAGUGAGUAGGAAAUGGCAGUCCUAGAGAAAAACCCUGUUAACCACAUUUUAUAAGUUGUUUUUCCCAAAGGGAAAAACCUAAACCUGCCACUGCCUGGAGGCUGGGUGGCUGGGUGCAUGUCUUCCUUGCAUUUGAGGUGCUUCCUAUAAGGAAGACGUUGACCCAAUUUAAGGAGAUUGGUGGCUGUGCAGAUGCCCUCCCUUGGGACAUCUCUGGGAGCUUGGCUGAAGCUGGGUUCCCAGUAGGGAUUUUGAAAAGAAGCCUUCAUUAUUGGCAUAGGAAACACCCACACUUCCAUCUCCUCCCUGCAUUUCCCCAGGACUCUUGGUCUCAGAGCUGCAAAGAGAGUGAUGCCCAAAGGUUGGACUUCUGUAUCAACAUCCAGCCUCCGAGUGAGUUUCUGGAAUUACCAUCUUCCCCAAUUAUAACGAUCCCUAUCUCCAUUCUUCAUUCCCGAGUCCCCAGGGGCAGCAGAGUACAUCGAGGUUUAAGCCCUGCUCCCCAGGAAGCUGAGCCCGGGAUGCCCACUCUGCAGCCCUCACACCCACCACAUCCCUGCUCUGACAUUCACCCAGGGACUCAUAGGCCUCACUGUUCCAAACUCCACAACCUGCAGGCCCUGGGGCACCUUGUUGCUCCUGACUCCCACCAGAACUUGGCUUUCAGGAAAGCUGGGCAAUGUCUGGAAAGUCAAUUAGGAAGAACUGGGGACAGGCCAAGGACUCAGACUCAGUGACAACCACAGUGAAAAUGAACAGGGAGGCUGGGCCCAGCUCUGCCUACAGAAGAAGGGAUGCCCUGCACGUCGAGACAACCCUGCGCUUAUCCUGAUGUGCUCCCAUCCCCUCCCUGGCAUCCAGCUCCUGCAUCCUCCCUAAACCAUGCUGUAAGGCUGACAACCCCAGAUCAACAAAAGGCACACAAGCAGGGACAGGCAGACAUUUG